CCUCUUUGCCCCACAAGAAGAAGGGAUAAAUUUAAAGUAGAGAUUGAAUUUAAUCGAGAUGAAGACAAUGAUGGAAGCUUGGAUUCCAGCGUUAGUUGAAGGCAUACAUUCCACCCCCACUCAGGCCGUCCUUUAUCUCUCCGGCGGUGCCUCUCAGGCGCUGGGCUGGUUGAUGGCAGUGCCCGGUGCUACAAAUACAGUGCUUGAAGCUCUGGUACCCUACUCCAGAAUGUCCAUGAUUCAAUUACUUGGCAAGGUUCCUACUAAUUAUUGUAGCCAACAAACAGCAGAGGAAAUGGCCUUAUUGGCUUACAAUCGCGCUCUUAAGCUCUCUAGUCCUGGUUAUCCAGUUCUUGGUGUGGGUUUCACUGGUUCUCUAGCUAGCACGCGGGCCAAACUUGGUGAUCACAGAUUUCACUUGUCAACAAGAACAUCUGACCGACUUUGGGUAUCUAAAGUUACUUUGUCAAAGGGUCUGCGAACUCGAGAGCAAGAAGAUACCAUUUCAAGUCAUCUCUUACUCGAGGCCAUUGCAAAUGCUUGCAAAGUCCAGGCAACAUUUGUUUCUAAUUUGACUGAAUCUGAUGUGUCUGAUGAAUUUGAAAAAAAAUUUACUGAAGAUCAAGAAUUGGAACAACUUCUAAAUGGGCAAAUAUGCUUUAAGGUUUAUCCGUUUUCCAGUGUGAUGCAUACGUCAAAUGAAGAGAGAAAGAUAAUACUUCCUGGUUCUUUUAAUCCAUUGCAUGAAGGUCACCUCAAGCUCUUGGAAGUUGCUACAAGCAUUUGUGGCAAUGGGUACCCAUGCUUUGAGAUCUCAGCAGUCAAUGCUGACAAACCUCCACUUUCCAUAUCGCAAAUCAAAGAUCGUGUCAGGCAAUUUGAAAAAGUUGGGAAGACAGUAAUUAUUUCCAGUCAGCCUUUCUUUUACAAGAAAGCUGAGCUUUUCCCUGGCAGUGCUUUUGUAAUUGGUGCAGACACAGCAGUGAGGCUGAUUAAUCCUAAGUACUAUGAUGGUGACUGUGGGAAGAUGCUAGAGAUACUCAUCGCAUGCAAGAAUACAGGAUGCACAUUCCUUGUUGGUGGUCGUAAUGUAGAUGGUGUGUUUAAGGUUCUUGAAGACUUUGACAUUCCGGAGGUGUUAAAAGACAUGUUUGUCUCAAUACCAGCUGAACAGUUCCGCAUGGAUAUUUCGUCUACCGAGAUAAGAAAGAGGAGUGGGAUGUGAGUCUAACAUGCUGCAAUAUUUACCCAUUAUAUGAUUCUUGUAACGCUGAUGAAGAUGAUAAAUAUGCAUCUGGGGAAAAAUCAGAUAAUAUUAUACUACACAAGUCUUCUGCAUGUUAAAAUAAUCUUCUGCAUAUACAGAUUUAUCAGAGUCAAACCAAAACCUUGGUAUCUCUACAAAGAAAGUAACACCGGUAAAUCCAUUAUCCUGUUCCUGCCUCAUAUUUGCCCAUUUUGACAUGGACAAUUGUGGUGGUAGGAAUUUAGUUUGUAUCCUGAAAGACAUUAGAGUGAAUUAUCAAUAGAGAAUUUUGUUUUUUUCGUCAGUCAGCAAUUGCGGUUGCCAUGGAAUGCAAAGAUCUUCCACAUGGCUAUGGAGUGCGAAUUCUCUUUUCAGGUGGCUGCAAUUUCAAUUUGUCCAUGGAUUGUUAAUUGCAUUCCGUUACCCUUCUAAAUUAUAUGAAUUGUCAAUUUUAUCCUUUUUUUGAUUUUAAUUCCCUCUUUUGGACAAAGCUUGAAAACUGAAAAAAGACAAAUGAAAUGUCGGUGCCACGUGGAGGCUAAAAGAAGAACAAAAUUCUGUGGCUUCUCUGGUGGAAGAGAGCUUCUUGGGAUAAGAAAUGUCUGGCUGUGACUUUAAUAUACAAAUGAUAAAUGCAAUUAUAUAUUGAUGGAACAUGAUAAUCUAAAUCUAAAUCUAAAUCCAAAGCAAACUUUGACGACAUUUGUUCAUGUGCAAGUGACUGUUGCAUUAACAACCUAGUAUAUCUACAACUGAAUUCUCUUGCAAAAUGGUCCAAAAUGAAACUUCUACUGUUUUAUUGGCAUGCCAGAACUGAAUUUGUUCACAUGGAGGCAGACGGACGGAAGGAGAGAAGAGCUCAACCACCGCAAGCUGCACCGCACCCAGCUGCGCAUGUAGAACCAUGUGUAUCGGUAUGCGUAGCAGAGGUUUUAUCCUUGGAUGCGCCACCUGCACAAGAGAAAAUGAUAGCCGUAAUAAUGGAUAGAGUGAUUAGUGCACCCCACCAUAAGAGUAAAGCUUCGCUGCUCAACCCUUCGCCGCCGCUUCUUCCAUACCCCCCUAUCGCCUCUUUCCAUUCCCUUACCAUAUCCAAUCUCUCUCUCUCUCGAUAAAAGUCAGUUCUUGUUUUUGAGUUUUAACAGCCAACACCACACCGAUCAAAGGAUUGUUUGAUUUGCAUUGACUUUUUGUGCAGGUGAUUUAAUAAUGUGAAAGAGGGGAAAAAACAAGAAAAAGAAAAUGCUGACUACCAUUCCCUCCUCAAACCCUAUCCAAAAUAGGUUGCCUUUGUUGACAUACGAUGCUAAUUUUAAGCAUAAAGUCCUUAGAAAACUAAUUGGUGCUGUCGGUGAAGUCCUUAAAAAACCUUAUAAUUAUUUUAAUUUUUUAAAUUAACUAAUUAUUAUUUUCUUGAGAAGAAAAAAAAAUCAUUACUCUUUUUUAUGUAUAAAUAAUUAGAAAGGAUAAAUCAAAACGGGAAACAAUUAUAAAGCUGCUGCUUUAUGGUCAAAUUAACUUUCUGAUAUUGAAUAUCGUUGAAAGGGCAUAAUUCCAACACGUGUAAGAGCCACUGGGAGCAAGGGUGGCAGAUGUAGCUGAAGGACGAGCCCAAGUAAAAGCAGAAAGAGGAUUGAACCCUGUCAAGAAAAGGGGAAGAAUCAAUUUUCAAGUGCGCUAUAUAUAUAAAGAAAAAAAUCGUGAUAUAAAAAUAAUUUAAUUAGUAAUUUUUUAAUUACAAUAUUAUUCGUUCAUUUUUUUUGGGUUAAAAUUAGAUACAUUCAUUAGAGGAAUCAAUGUACAUGGCCUACGGUCCAAUACAUAGUAGAUGCAAUACAACCCAUCUAACAAAAAUCAAAGGGCUAAGCCCAAAGGCCACUUGAAUAGAACCGUAGAGUUCGGCAAUUGGAAAGUUAUCUGAGCAGCGCUGCUUGCCACUAUGACCUUUCACGGCUCUAUCAAGACCGCCGAGAAAGCCCAACCCCAACGGGUCAUCAACAACCAACAGGAGAAAGAAUAAGGGUAACCGCUUCCUCUAGUAGCCAUGCAUGGCAAAGAACAGGAGUAGAACAAGAAGAAACCCAUUUCCAUAACAUAGCACCCCAAGCUUUGGAUUUUGAAACCAUAAAUAAGAAUGGUUUUAGGUGUGUGAUGUCAGUCGAUAAUUUGAGUUUUCUACAGAGGACUCCACUGAUGUUGCUGUGAGCUUCUGAAGAGUAGUCAAUGUGCCAAGUAAGCCUGUAAAAUGAAAAAAUGGUGAGGUUAGUAGGCUUUUAGCCAGCUACUCUAACGCUCAAGUUAAAGGUCUAUGUUGGGAGAAUGAAAAUUAAGUAAAGAGAGC
RNAcentral lists this unclassified non-coding RNA (3587 nucleotides) under Hevea brasiliensis (rubber tree). The record is from RNAcentral. Lineage: Eukaryota; Viridiplantae; Streptophyta; Magnoliopsida; Malpighiales; Euphorbiaceae.